This 552-nucleotide ribosomal RNA is filed under the name Wolbachia endosymbiont of Drosophila leontia. RNAcentral describes it as "partial 23S ribosomal RNA". It matches the Rfam family "Bacterial large subunit ribosomal RNA", at positions 173 to 779 of the family's 2925-position model. Lineage: Bacteria; Pseudomonadati; Pseudomonadota; Alphaproteobacteria; Rickettsiales; Anaplasmataceae. The record is from RNAcentral.
UACGAGGCGAACCCGGGGAACUGAAACAUCUCAGUACCUGGAGGAAAAGACAUCAAUUGAGAUUCUGCUAGUAGUGGCGAGCGAACGCGGAACAGGCCAGUGGUCUUUGGAAGAGAAGCAGAACACUCUGGAAAGGGUGGCCAUAGUGGGUGAUAGUCCCGUAUGCGUAGUGCUUUUAAAGAUCCUUGAGUAGGGCGGGGCACGUGAAACCCUGUCUGAACAUGGGGGGACCACCCUCCAAGCCUAAAUACUCCCUGGUGACCGAUAGUGAACAAGUACCGUGAGGGAAAGGUGAAAAGCACCCCGACGAGGGGAGUGAAAUAGACCUGAAACCGAAUGCCUACAAGCAGUCGGAGCCUCUUAUGGGGUGACGGCGUACCUUUUGUAUAAUGGGUCAGCGAGUUUCUGUUUGCAGCAAGCUUAAGCCGGUAGGUGUAGGCGUAGCGAAAGCGAGUCUGAAUAGGGCGUCUAGUUGCUGGCAGAAGACCCGAAACCGAGUGAUCUAGCCAUGGCCAGGCUGAAGGUGCGGUAACACGCACUGGAGGGCCGAAC